This 19467-nucleotide long non-coding RNA is filed under the name Populus trichocarpa (black cottonwood). RNAcentral describes it as "long non-coding RNA (PTRI_LNC002042)". The record is from RNAcentral. Lineage: Eukaryota; Viridiplantae; Streptophyta; Magnoliopsida; Malpighiales; Salicaceae.
ACCAGUUUUCAUUAAGAACAUUAUGAAGAAGAUGGUCAAACCCUGCAUUAAAACAUCUCAGAAAGAUGCCAUACUUCACACAGACACACAGACACACACAAACACAAACACAAACUGCAGCAAGAGGAUACCAAUCCAAAGGCUUCCUUCCCAUACGAGAUGUCUCACAUGCUGACAUAGAGAUCUCAAGGACCAAAGAGUCUCCUCAUUCCUGCCUUCUGCUCUGCAUUAACCCUUGUUGGGAACCUGAUGUCAAACUUGAUUUUCAAAAUCCCUCUCUUUGUUGGGUCGCCGAGGAUCGGCAUCCCUUCAUUCGGGACAAACUUCUGAUAGUUGGGAUGGAUCACAUCAUUGAUCGGAAGGGUUAAAUUCCUGCCAUCUAAGGUAAUAAGAUGGACAGUGUAGCCUGUAAAGGCUUCAGUUACGGAAAUCCUUCGAGUGACGAUCAAGUCAUUUCCAUCACGAGUAAACUCAGAGUGGGGUUUUUCAUCAACAAUGAAGACAACAUCAGCAGGUGUUAUAUUUGGUCUUUGGUUCCCUUUCUCUUCGAAAGUGAUCUUCGUGCCUUUCUUCCAACCAGGCUUUGUGUCAAUGGUUAGAAUCUCCUCUAUUUUCCUGGUCAAGCUGCGCUCCAUCCCACAAAAAAAGAAAGAGCACAAGAAACACCAUUAACAAAGCUCUAGGACCUUUCAGAAGACUGUAAAAUGAUGAAAAAUAACUAUCUCACGCAAAUCUUUGACAACAGGAAAGCAUAUCAAGUCCAGGACCAGUGAUCAGAGUCAACAUGUUUGAUCAAAACUACAGAGCAGUUGACCAUAAAACAGGACCAGGUGACCAUAAAGCAGGACCAAAGAGGUGAUGUUUAGGACACUUACCCCCUUCGAUCAGCUACUUCUCUAGUUAUUUUUACCCUCUUGGUAGCCCCUUGAUAAAGCUCUUCAAGACUACAAGGCAGGGUGUGCUUAAUUGCAGGAUCUUUUCCAGGAGCACUAACCACGAAGCUUUGCUCAAAGGAUCUAAAGAUAUCAUUAUCAUCGCCAUUUAUGUUACUGGAGAACCCUGCUCCUCUCCUGUUUUGAUUUGGGCUAUUAGACCUCAAAAAUUCAGCAUAGAUAGCAUCAUUUAUUGCCCGAUACUGACUAUUCAUCUCGUUGAUAGAAGGUGGAUGAAAGAAAGGCAAAGAGAAUUGUUCUAGCUCAGUGUAACGCAACUGCUCUUAAAGGAAAAGGAAAAGUAAUUGUCCUACGUACCUCUCAUACUUUAAAGUGGUGGAGAAAUUGUUGGAGGACGGUGAUUGGCUAGGCACAACAUAAAGCUUAAGUUGUUAUGAUUUGCAUAGGAGACACAAACUACAACACUUACCUUUUUUUCUUCAAUUAAUUUAUUUAAUUAAAAGAUUAAGUUGGUAAAUUUCAGACUCGCCUUUGUUCUUAUUAGUAAAACUCUGAUAUCAUUAAUUAUUUUUGCAGUAAUCUUUCAUGAUUUAGAAUAUUCUCUCGUACAGAUUUCCCAAUAAUAAUAAUAACAGAGUUGAUGGUUUGGACAUAUAAUAAAAGGUUCAUUUGCGUGUCUCUCAUUGAUAAUUGGUGGCCAUGUGACGUGGAAGAAAACAUUGAAAAGGAUAGGUACGUGUGGAUGCCUCGUUUGCUUGUCCCUUGAGAGUCGUUGAAUUGACCCAUGACAUCAGACCGAGUUUGGUAUAAAUAAAUAAUUGUGUCUUGAUUUAUCAAAUUUAAUUUGAUUUGUCUUUUGAAUUCAUUUUUUUUAAUUUUCUUUUAUAUUGAUCAUAUUGUAUAGCUUAUUGAUCAUGUUAAAAAAACUUAGUAUAUAAUACUGCAUAUAAGCCUUCAUAAUAAUAAUAAUAAUAACAACAAUAAUAAUGAUGAAAAUAUUCCGUGGUAAUAAUAAUAAUAAAAAUAAAUAAAUAAAGAAGAGGAAGGUUAGUUUUAGGAGUUAAUUGGAAUAAAAAAUUGAAACGGGGUUAAAUUAUAAUGUUUAGAUUCUUAAGGAUUAAGGAAAGAGCUAAGGGAGAAAUAAAAGAUUUAAUGGGGGCUAAAAUAGGAUUACAAAUUAGUCAACCUUGCUUUUAUUUGCGAGGGAUGCCGACGGCAGCUAUUAGAAGAAGAGGCUAGUUUACGAAGGGGAGAACGUAAUUUUUGUCACUGUGAUUUUAAAAAGUAAAUUUAGGGAAAAUAUUUUUAAUUAUAAUUAGUUGGAUUUAGAUACGUAUUUGAUAAAAACUGCGAUUAAAAUCUAUGUGUAGCAAAAAACAUGUAUAAAAUAUUUGGAUAAAAUGUUUAGGCUUUUUUACAAACAGUAAAAAAAAAAUUAGUAAAGAAUAUUUACGAAACUUAGUUAAAAAAACAUGUUAAAACUGAUACAUAAACCUGCGUUUUGAACUUAAUUUUUUAAUAAGUUUCGCAGUAUAAAACUCAGUUCUCUUAAUACUAAACAAGUCACCGCUAACUGUUAACGUGAAAGCUAUAAAAAAAACAAACAAAGUCUUAAACCUCGAAUUAAGAGGGGUUGGAGAGAAAGAAAGUGAAGGUAACGAGAGAAAAACAAAGGAAGAAGGAGAGAGCAAGGAAAUUAUGGUGGCUUGUGAUGAAGGUGGCCGGCCAAACUAAGAAAAAAAUUGGGGAGUUCUUGAAAUUGAAUCGGUGAUGUAAACAGUAUUUUGAUUUGAGUUAUGAUGGUAUAAGUUUGUGGUGCUAUCUUGAUAAAUUGUGAGAAUUUUAUAAGUCAUUGUUUUGUGAAUAAGAUGAUUGAAUAAGUUAUGAAAGUCUUUGAUAGCUAGUAAUUGCUGGAACAUCACACACGAUUGCUUUUAUAUUUUAACACAUUGAAUUAAUAAGCCGCGUAAUAGAAUAGUAUAAUUAUAUCUAAAAAUUUUAUUUAAUAUUUUAAAUUUUUAAAUUGAAUUAAUUAUUUGAUAUGAUAUUUAAUAUAAAUUUAUAUAAAUUUCAAGUUUGAAAAACUUACUGCCCCGUUUGUUUGCUGGAAAGUAGUUUCCUUUUGAAAAGUGAAUUCCGGGAAAGUAUUUUCCGAUGUUUGGUAGUGUAAUAGAAAAUAAGUUGGAAAACGCUUUCCAGUGUUUGGUUAUGUCAUGGAAAAUGAGCUGGAAAAUAACUUAUUAAUGUUUUAUUUUUCUCAAGUUUAUUAAAAUAAUGAGGAACAAAUCUUACAAAUUAAAAAGUUGAAUGAGAAUGAAAUUGAAAAAAAAAUAUAAUUUCAUAAAUUAUCUCAAAUAAAAUAAAUAAUAAUCAAAAUAAUAGAGAUCAAAUCUAAAAAAUUAAAAAAAAUUAAAGGUGAAGAAAUUAUAAUAAUAAUAAUUAACAUUUCAUAAAUUAUUUCAAAUAAAAUAAGUAACAAUUAAAAGAAUGAUGAUCAAAUUUGAUAGAUAAAAAAUUUCAAUAAAAAAAUGAUAAGGAAAAAGCAAAUAGCAAUUAUAAAAAUAAGGACCAAAAUUAAUAUAAAAAUUAAAUUUUAAGAGAUGGAAUUGAAAAAUAAAUAUUCAAAACAAAUUAUAUAUAGCAAUCAAAAGUUUGAGGAUCAAAUUUGAUAUAAUCAGCAAAUAAUGACAUUUCUAAAUUUUUCACAACUUCCGGAAAGUGUUUUCCGCCCAAAUUUUCCAGAAAAACACUUUCCUGAAAACCAAGCCAAAUUUUCCUUUGACUGGAAAGUGUUUUCCGUUGACCAACUUUUCUAAUGACAAACAAACAUAAGAAAAUUUGAAAAAUGGUUUUCCAGAAAUCACUUUCCAGAAAACAAACCUAGCCUUAAGAAGAUGCGUUAAUAAAUAAUAUAAUAUCUUAGUUUUAUUUCAUUAUUUGACAAAUAGUGAUGGUUUGGGAUGGGAAGCAGGAAAUUAAUCCUGGAAGGUGUCGUUUACAGGGAAGUGACUCACGUUUCAGGAUAUGGCCGGAGGGAAUUGCUCUCCAAGCUCGACCUUUUGAACUGAAGAAAGGAGGAAUUCAACCACCAAUCAAGGGGAAGCAUUUUCCAUUGACACCAUAUAUAAUUAAGAAGUUGGCCAAACCCUACAUUAAACAUCUCAGAAAGAUUUCAUACUUCACAUAUAUAUAUAUAACACAACUUAAAAGUCUGAAACUGUCAAAUACCACUGCAAUUUAUCACAAACUGCGUCAAGAGGAUACCAAUCCAAAGGCUUCCUUCACAUAGGAUAUGUCUGGCAUGCUGAUAUAGAGAUCUCAAGCACCAAAGAGUCUCCUGAUUCCUGCCUUCUGCUCUGCAUUAACCCUUGUUGGGAACCUGAUAUCAAACUUGAUUUUCAAAAUCCCUCUCUUUGUUGGGUCGCCGAGGAUCGGCAUCCCUUCAUUCGGGACAACCUUCUGAUAGUUGGGAUGGAUCACAUCAUUGAUCGGAAGGGUUAAAUUCCUGCCAUCCAAGGUUUUAAGAUGGACAGUGUAGCCUGUAAAGGCUUCGGUUACAGAAAUCCUUCGAGUGACGAUCAAGUCAUUUCCAUCACGAGUAAACUCAGAGUGGGGUUUUUCAUCAACAAUGAAGACAACAUCAGCAGGUGUUACAUUUGGUCUUUUGUUCCCUUUCUCUUCGAAAGUGAUCUUCGUGCCUUUCUUCCAACCAGGCUUUGUGUCAAUGGUUAGAAUCUCCUCUAUUUUCCUGGUGAUCAAGCUGCGCUCCAUCCCACAAAAACGAAAGAGCACAAGAAACACCAUUAACAAAGCUCUUGGACCUUUCAGUCGACUGUAAAAUGAUUAAAAAAAAAAAAACUAUCUCACACAAAUCUUUGACAACCAGAAAGCAUAUCAAGCCCAGGACCAGUUGAUCAGAGUCAACAUGUUUGAUCAAAACUACAUAAUGGUAGUUGACCAUAAAACAGGACAAAAAUGGUGAUGUUUAGGACACUUACCCACUUCGACCAGCUACUUGUCUAGUUAUUUUUACCCUCUUGGUAGCCCCUUGAUAAAGCUCUUCAAGACUACAAGGCAGGGUGUGCAUAAUUGGAGGAUCUUUAGCACUAACCCCGAAACGUUGUGCAAAAGAUCUAACGAUAUCAUCAUCAUCAUUCAUCACCAUAUACGUUAUUGGUGAAGAUUGUUCCACUCCAGUUUUGAUUUGGGCUACUAUCAGUGGAGGAGAACAUCGUUCCUCUCCAGUUUUUAUCUGGGCUAUUAUUAGUGGAAAACAUUUUUCCGUGAUAGAAGUUUGAUGAGAGAGGAAGGCAAAGAGAGUUCUUGCAGCUCAGUGUCACGCAACAGCUCUCCUUCAAGGAAAAGUAACUGUCCUAUGCUUUUAGUUGUGGGAAAAUUGAAGGACAGUGAAUGUCUUACAAAUAAAGGCAUACCUUCAAGCCGAAGUUGUUGGACUCUGUGGAAAUUAAGCUGUGAAAUGAAUUUUAUACCAUUCUCCCUCACAAUUUAUGCUCAACUUUUUCUUCAAUUAAUUUAUUUAAUUAGAGGAUUAAUUAAGAGGGUAAGAUUAAUUAGACUCCUCGUCGUUUUUAUUAGUAAAAUCUUGAUAUGAUGUUAAAAAUAUCUUAACUUAAAAUCCAGAGUGUAGAAUAAAAAUUCUAGAAUGAUUUUAAAGAUUUACGCAUAAAGAUUAGAAAGUAAAAGGACUGGAUUAAGAAAAUUUAAAGAUUAAAGGGUGAAAUGUACGAUUAACCAGGAGUUUCACUUUUGGGAAAUUGUAAGGAACACACAUAAACCCCAAAACUACAGUUUCAAGUACCAAAAAAAAAGCUAUUUGAGAUUAUUAUGCACAAAACGGAUAGCCAACUUUAAUAACACUAAACCUAUUAAAUUAUAAAUAAAAUAUUAUAAAGAUAGAUAAUCCUGAUAAUGUUAUAAUGAAACCCAAUUAGGUUAGAAAUCCUAGCAUUGCAGGCAACAUGAGUGCAUUUUAUAUUUUUAUCAGUGCCUUGAUUUUCUGCUCAAAUCCUGUGUGCUUUGAUGCUUGAUAUGGCAUGUUUUUUUGUAUUUUUUUUAUUUUAAAAACACAUAAAUUUACUUAAAACUAUUCUGAAAACAUAUUUAUUUUAUGUUUUUGUCUUAAUGUUUUUAAUCAACACGUUUUUAUCUCUUUUAUAUCUAUUUUUUUUUAUAUCUUGAAACACUAUCCACAACCUGACAGAUGAUAGUGUGAUUUCUUGUUUUUUUUCCCUGCUUGCAAUGAAUUCAUUGUCGGAAUACUUUUAUUAGUUGUUUUAAGAUUGGCAUAUAUUACAACAACAGCUGCUGUAGUUCUAAGGGUCAAGAAAUUCAAUGUAUCCAUCUCAUACAUAUACUGAAGAACACAUCAACGUGGACUUGGAUGGGGAUGGAACCAGGGAGAGAGAUGGAGAGCAAAAUGGGGAUCCAGAUUAUGGCUCCAAAUCUUCUUUCUCAGAUUUCAGUGACUAGAGAAAUAACCUUAUAGUUUUUAGAGUAUUGUUGAUGCAUGCGAAAUACUCAAUUUCUCAAUUUAACCUCCUCCGAGCUCGGGUUACAGAAGAAGGAGAAGGAACCGAGAGGAAGGUAUAGGCAACAACAGGUUUUAUUACAGGGCAGCUCAUGUUUCUUACAUCGUAUGUCCUUUUACUGCACUACUAUGUAAUUGAAGUUCAUGUAUUUAUAUAGGAAUCAGUGCCCGUGCGAAGCUAUAUAUCACCUUCACUGUAAUGGAGAUCAAUCAAGAUGUCAAUGAACUAGUACUUUGGGGUGCUUUGCUGUUCUGUUAAUUUAUGGUGAUGUGAUGAUGGUGGAGGAAGAGCAGUAAUAUUUGGGGGCUUGUGGUGUUUAGGAUUUGGGUUAAUGCUAAAUUUGCACCUCUAUUCUUUAUUGUACCUUGCUUUGUGUUGCUGUUAAAUCCAUCCUUAUACUUUUAAUCUUUCUCUAGUUUGGUCCUUUUGCUUAUGGUUGGGUCAAUACCCUUGAAUCGACUUGAUUAUCUUUUGUUGUAUUCAGGACUAAGUUACUAAAUUCAGCUUGGACCGGUUUAAAUAUAGAAGAAUCCAAAAUAAAAAUAUUUUGAAGAAUUUUUUAAAAUCAAAUCAGAUUUUAACAUGAUUAUGAGUUGAUUUAUUGGAUCGAUCAAGUCAAAUCAAAUCAAUUUUAAAAUAAUUUAUUUUUUAAAUUAGAUCUAAACUAAAAAUUAGGUCAGCUUAAUUGACUCAUUAGAUCAAUCAGUUUAAUAAUUACAAUUUAAGAGUAUAUAGAUUUUUUAAUUAUUUUUUCUCUCAUGUAGUCUAAAUUUCAAUAGAUCAUACAAUCAAUUAUUUUUUAAUCGACUCAGAUAUUCAAUAUCAUAAAAAAAUUAUAUAAAUUAUAUAUUUUUGAAUCUCAUCCAUCGGCACAAGUUUUUAUCAUGAUAUGAGAAAUUAAAUGAAGUAAAUGCUCUUUCAAAUUGUACCUUUUACUGUCAAGAAAGGAAAGAUUCAACAACAAUCAAGGGAAACCAGUUUUCAUUAAGAACGUUAUGAAGAAGAUGGUCAAACCCUGCAUUCAACAUCGAUCUCAGAAAGAUGCCAUACUUCACUCACACACACAGACACAGACACACACACAAACUGCAGCAAGAGGAUACCAAUCCAAAGGCUUCCUUCCCAUAGGAGAUUUCUCACAUGCUGAUAUUGAGAUCUCAAGGACCAAAGAGUCUCCUCAUUCCUGCCUUCUGUAGUGCAUUAAUCCUUGUUGGGAACCUGAUAUCGAACUUGAUUUUCAAAACCCCUCUCUUUGAUGGAUCGCCGAGGAUGGGCAUCCCUUCAUUCGGGACAACCUUCUGAUAGUUGGGAUGGAUCACAUCAUUGAUCGGAAGGGUUAAAUUCCUGCCAUCUAAGGUAAUAAUACGGCCAGUGUAGCCUGUAAAGGCUUCAGUUACAGAAAUCCUUCGAGUGACGAUCAAGUCAUUUCCAUCACGAGUAAACUCAGAGUGGGGUUUUUCAUCAACAAUGAAGACAACAUCAGCAGGUGUUAUAUUUGGUCUUUCGUUCCCUUUCUCUUCGAAAGUGAUCUGCGUGCCUUUCUUCCAACCAGGCUUUGUGUCAAUGGUUAGAAUCUCCUCUGUUUCCCUGGUCAAGCUGCGCUCCAUCCCACAAAAAAGAAAGAGCACAAGAAACACCAUUAACAAAGCUCUUGGACCUUUCAGAAGACUGUAAAAUGAUGAAAAAUAACUAUCUCACAUAAAUCUUUGACAACAAGAAAGCAUAUCAAGCCCAGGACCAGUUGAUCAGAGUCAACAUGUUUGAUCAAAACUACAGAAUGGCAGUUGAACUUAAAACGGGACCGAAAAGGUGAUGUUUAGGACACUUACCCUCUUCGAUCAGCUACUUGUCUAGUUAUUUUUACCCUCUUGGUAGCCCCUUGAUAAAGCUCUUCAAGACUACAAGACAGGGUGUGCUUAAUUGCAGGAUCUUUUCCAGGAGCACUAACCACGACACUUUCUUCAAAAGAUCUAACGAUACCAUCACCCUGUAUGUUAAUGGAGAGCUCUGUUCCUCUCGUGUUUUGAUUUGGGCUAUUAAACCCGAAAGAUUCAGCAAAGAUAGCAUCAACUGCUGCCCUACUAUGACUAGUCAUGUCGUUGAUAGAAGGUGGAUGAAAGGAAAGCAAAGAGAACUGUUCUAGCCCAGUGUAAUGCAACUGCUCUACUUAUAGGAAAAGUUAAUUUCCUACGUAGCUAGCAUACUUCAAGUUGUGGAAAAAUUGAAGCACAGUGAUUAGCUUACAAAUGAAGAAAACUUAAUGGCUAAGCUGUUAAAAAAAUUUAGAAAAUACAGAAGGUCGCUAACAUUAAAUAUAUACUUUGUUUUAUAUUUGUUUUUUAAUUUUUUUUUAAUUUUAAUUUUAGUUAUUGUUAAUAUUUUUAUUAAGAUAUAUAAUUUUAAAUUUAUUUAAUUAUAUAUUCGAAUAGGCUUUUUAAUUUACAUUUUAUCUUUUUUUUAUGUAUAAAAAUACAAUGAAAAAACUUUGCUAUACAAUUUUUUAUAUAUAUAUAUAAUUGCACGGAUAUAAUAGAUAGUAACCACUAUGUUCCGUUAUUUGAUGUUGGUGUUGCACUAUUUUCCAUAUUUUUGGAGAAUAAUUUCAUGAAAAGGUGUGACUGUGAAUGAAUUACAAGGCAAAACACAGAAUUCUAUGGGGGCGAUGAUAAAUAUUUGUGCACUGGAAUGUCAGGAAUAUAAAUGCUCUUUACUUCUUUCUUUAGGUUGAGAAAAGGGUAGUUUUUGUUUGUCAUUACGCUAUUUUUUAUAGUUAUGGAUUAAAAAAAAGUAUAUUUUUAAAAAAAUAUAUUUUUUAUUAUAAUUUAAAAAACAUAUGUUUUAAAAAAAUACAUGUUUAAUUAAAAUUAUUAGUGAGAUAAAUUUUUAUAUGAAAAAUAUAUAUUAAUAAAUAAAGACAGUGUUUGAUAUUAUGUUAACGAUUAUUUUUUAAAGUAUUUUUCGCUUGAAAAUACAUCAAAAUAAUAUUUUUUAUUUUUUAAAAUUUAUUUUUAACACCAGCAUAUCAAAACUAGAAACACAAAAAAAAAAAAAAUUAAAAAAAAAGAGUCAUUGCCGCAUAAGCAAAUUGCUUCGAAAAACCAGUUAUUUUAUUUUCUAUAUAACUAAGGUUUGAAAUGCAGUUAUGAAUGGAGCCCAGUAUGAAAUACAGAAAUUAUAUAGCUAGCUAAAUGGUUUUUUCUACGUGGUUAAGCAAAAAAAAAGCUAUUAUAAUAUCAAAUGGUUUCUAAAUGUGUAUUUGAUAUUGUAAUGCAAGAUACUUUUUAAAAGUGUUUUUUACUUGAAAAUACAUUAAUUUUUAUUUUAUUUUUAGCAUUAACUCAUCAAUAUAAUCAGAAAAUAUCAAAAAAAUCAAUUUAAUAUUUUUUUCAAAUCAAACAUACUUUUAAAACACACUAAAAUGUAGCUUCAAGCACAAAAACAAGCAGACAAUAAGUGCUUGUUUGAGAUUGUGAUAAAAAUUGCGUUUCAAAAUGUUUUUCGUUUACAAAUACAUCAAAAUAAUAUUUUCUUUUAAUUUUUGAUAUUAAUACAUCAAAACAAUAAAAAAAAAUAUCAAAAAAUAAUAACAAUUCAACCACAACAGACGAAAUAAGCACUAAGUUGUGUAACCUAAUUUUAUGUUACUUUGGACUGAAGGAAGUAACAGUGAAUCAACGGAACAUUUAGUCACUAAAUACAUGCUAACAAAAGCAAAUAAGCUACGUCUGCUUGAUCUCCAAAAAGUAAAAGCAAUUACUGAUCUAGAUGAUACUAUACUGAUCAUUGAUGAUUUUAUUAAGCUCGAUGUGCUGAAAACUGUCACGUUAUUCUAUAAGUUGAUUCUGAUGAAUAAAAUACUUUAAUUUGAAGAAAAUAUACGUUGGUUGGAUUCCACUACUCCCAAAACAAGGUGGUUGUGUGGAUUUGGUUUUCAUGGGUGAGAUUCUGCAUCUUACAGAAUCACCAUGGUUUUGUAAUAGCACGUUUCUUGUUCUUGAAAGGGGAAAUAAAGAAAAAAGAAUGGUUAGCACAGCUGAUUUUAAUCAUGUCGUCUUCUUGUAGGAAUCCACUCAUAUAUAUUCACCAUCUUUGCAUAAAGUUGAUGGCACACUGUUCUGAACUAAAGAGAAAGAAAACAAGGAUGCACCCCAAAUCAACAAGAGCUAAUUUUAAUUGAAAUUGUAACUGAUAAAUUCUUCAGUACACCUUUAAGCACAUCGAUGUAUUUAGAAAGAUGGCAUUCUUGCUCUGAAACUGAAAACUAAUAAAAACUGGGAGCGUAUAUAACAAGUUCUGUAUCAAAAAGAACCAAUCUAAAUACUACGUUCUAUGUAAUUUGUAUUUACAAAACUGCUCCAUUUCUAUGGAGAUGUGUUGUGCAUUAAAUAUUGGCAUUGAUGUUCUCAGCCCAAGAGUUUUUUGAUUCCUGCCUUCUGCUCUGCAGUUAACCUUGUUGGAAACUUGAUGUUGAACUUGAUCCUCAGAUUUCCUCUCUUUGUUGGGUCCUUUUGGAUUGGCAUCCCUUCCCUUGGGACAACCUCCUCAUAGUUUGGAUCAAUCACGGUGUUGAUCGGAAUGGUCAAAUUCCUUCCAUCUAAGGUGGUGAGAUGGACAGUGUAACCUGUCAAGGCUUCAGCUAAGGGAAUCUUCUGUGUGACAAUCAAGUCGUUUCCAUCACGAGUGAACACAGGGUGAGGUUUUUCAACUUGCAAUAUCUUGUAGUAAUCCACUCCCAUUGCGUUGCUGCUGCCUCCUCCUCCUCCUCCUCCUCCUCCUCUCUUUCUCUUCUUCACUUUGCUUAUCUUGGUUUUUCUACUUCAAAAAAAUCCUGGGGUGCUUUGCUCGCUCGCUUUUGUUAUGUUAAUUUACGGUAAUGUGAUGAUGGUGGAGGUAGAGUAGUAAUAUUUGGGGGUUUGUGGUGUUUAGGAUUUGGGUUAAUGCUAAAAAUUUGCACCUCUAUUCUUUAUUGUAACUUGCUUUGUGUUGCUGUUAAAUCCAUCCUUAUACUUUUAAUCUUUCUCUAGUUUGGUCCUUUUGCUUAUGGUUGGGUCAAUACCCUUGAAUCGAAUUGAUUAUAUUUUGUUGUAUUUAGGGCCAAGUUACUAAAUUCAGCUUUGCCUAGGGCUAAGUGACAGAUUGAGUAUGUCAAUUUGAUCAAUUUAAAACAAAGUUUUUUUUAAAGAUUUUUUUUAAAUCAAACCAGAUUUUAAUUAGAGUUAAUCUAUUAAGAGUAUGUUUGGUAUUGCGGUUGCUGUUAUGGUUGUGGUUUUAAAAAAGUUGUUUUAUAAAAAGUACUUUUAAUUGAGGUUGGUUUUGAAAAAUAUAUGUUUGGUUAAAACUGUAGUUGAAAUUGAGGUUGGACAAAAAAUAGUUUAAUGUGUUUGCUUAAAAAAAUGCUUUUCAAAUUGAGGUUAUAAAAUAAUUAAAAAAUAUUUUUAAUUUAAAUAUUGUAGAUUUAACUACUAUUAUUAUAUAAUGAAAUAAAUAAUAUUGAUAUCAAAAUUUGUUUAUUAUUCCAUUAAACUAUAUGCAACGUCAUCACAUAUGAAAUCUAUCCAACAAUAACUAUAUUUUUCAUGGUUUCUUAAGCACGCAACAACAAAAACUAAAUUUUUUGUUACGUUAUCAAGUGAUAUCCUUCUAAUUUUGUGAAUAAAACACAAUUAAAAUAAAAAUAAAAACUGAAUUUUUUUUAACUGGGUCGGACCCGGCAAGAACAUUACUGGAAUUGCGAUCAAAUUCCACAAAUGCUACGUCAUCAUGCGAUAUCCUUCUAAUUUAUGUAGUGUUAUUAAAUAAUAUUAAAUACUAGUUUUUCGAGUAAAACUCAAUUUUUUUUAAAAAAAUUACAAUUUCAUUACGUACAAAAUUCAUUUGACAAGAACUAUAGUUUUCAUGAUUUUUUGAGCGUGCAAUAUAAUUAGAUAAAAUAUUAUCAGGAAUAAAAUUGAAAUUACAGUACGAGUAAAUUUAAUUCACCUUAAACUAAUUUUUUAAAAAAACAAAAAAAAAUUGUUGUUCACAUUCACGUGAAUAAUUCGAGUGAAAUUAAUUAACUAUACUGGUUUUUUUUUAUAAAAAAAAACUGUUCACUUUAGUGAACAGUGCGACAGUGGAGCAUGGCUUCACUGUUCACUGAACAUUGGUCAUUGGAAAAUCACCACGAAUGCUGCUUCUCCAAACCUGUGGCACGGCAGCAAAAAUUGGUAGGUUCUACGAAGAAAAAUCACUUUUUUUCUGUUACCAAACACUGAUAUAUGUGGCUGCGGGUGAACCUCACCCGUAAUCACAUUACCAAACAACGUCUAAGUCGUUCAAGUCAAAUCAAAACAAUUUUUAAUUAAUUAUUUUUUAAAAUUAAACCUGGACCAGGGGUUGAAUCAGCUUGAUUUACCAAUUAAAUCAAAUCGAGUUUAAUCAUUGUGAUUAAGAGUAUAUAGAUUUUUUUAAUUAUUUUUUCUCUGAUGUAGUCUAAAUUUCAAUAGAUGAUGCAAUCAAGUAUUUUUGAUCGACUUAGAUAUUCAAUAACAUAAAAAAAAUUAUAUAAAUUAUAUGUUUUUGUAUCUCAUCCAUCGGCACAAGUUUUUAUCAUGAUAUGAGAAAUUAAAUGAAGUAAAUGCUCUUUCAAAUUGUACCUUUUACUGUCAAGAAAGGAAAGAUUCAACAACAAUCAAGGGAAACCAGUUUUCAUUAAGAACAUUAUGAAGAAGAUGGUCAAACCCUGAAUUCAACAUCUCAGAAAGAUGCCAUGCUUCACACACACACAGACACAGACACAGACACACACACAAACUGCAGCAAGAGGAUACCAAUCCAAAGGCUUCCUUCCCAUAGGAGAUGUCUCACAUGCUGACAUAGAGAUCUCAAGACCAAAGAGUCUCCUGAUUCCGGCCUUCUGCUCUGCAUUAACCCUUGUUGGGAACCUGAUAUCAAACUUGAUUUUCAAAAUCCCUCUCUUUGUUGGGUCGCGGAGGAUCGGCAUCCCUUCAUUCGGGACAACCUUCUGAUAGUUGGGAUGGAUCACAUCAUUGAUCGGAAGGGUUAAAUUCCUGCCAUCUAAGGUAAUAAGAUGGACAGUGUAGCCUGUAAAGGCUUCAGUUACAGAAAUCCUUCGAGUGACGAUCAAGUCAUUUCCAUCACGAGUAAACUCAGAGUGGGGUUUUUCAUCAACAAUGAAGACAACAUCAGCAGGUGUUACAUUUGGUCUUUCGUUCCCUUUCUCUUCGAAAGUGAUCUCCGUGCCUUUCUUCCAACCAGGCUUUGUGUCAAUGGUUAGAAUCUCCUCUGUUUCCCUGGUCAAGCUGCGCUCCAUCCCACAAAAAAGAAAGAGCACAAGAAACACCAUUAACAAAGCUCUUGGACCUUUCAGAAGACAGUAAAAUGAUAAAAAAAAAAAAAAAAAUAACUAUCUCACACAAAUCGCUGACAACAGGAAAGCAUAUCAAGUCCAGGACCAGUUGAUCAGAGUCAACAUGUUUGAUCAAAACUACAGAAUGGCAGUUGAACAUAAAACGGGACCGAAAUGGUGAUGUUUAGGACACUUACCCCCUUUGAUCAGCUACUUGUCUAGUUAUUUUUACCCUCUUGGUAGCCCCUUGAUAAAGCUCUUCAAGACUACAAGACAGGGUGUGCUUAAUUGCAGGAUCUUUUCCAGGAGCACUACCCACGACACUUUCUUCAAAAGGCCUAACGAUACCAUCACCAUCUCUGUUAUUGGAGAACUCUGUUCCUUUCCUGUUUUGAUUUGGGCUAUUAAACCCGAAAGAUUCAGCAAGACGGUAAAAAUAACUUGAAAAGAUUCCUCUUUUGUUUUCAAAAGAUUCAUCAUCUGCUGCCCUACUAUGACUAGUCAUGUCGUUGAUAGAAGGUGGAUGAAAGAAAGGCACAGAGAACUGUUCUAGCCCAGUGUAAUGCAACUGCUCUACUUAUAGGAAAAGUAAUUGUCCUACGUAGCUAGCAUACUUCAAGUUGUGGAAAAAUUGAAGCAUAGUGUUUGGCUUACAGAUGAAGAAAACUUAGUCCCGUGCUGGAAAAUAGUUUUUUUUUUUUAAAUAAAUUUUGAAAAAGUAAAUUUCAAGAAAGUGAAUUAUUUUCUGAUGUUUGAUAGUGUAAUGAAAAAUAAGUUAGAAACCACUUUUCAGUGUUUGGUUAUGUCAUUGAAAAUGAGCUGGGAAAUAACUUAUUAAUGUUUUAUUUUUUUCAAGUUUAUUAAAAUAAUAAGAAACAAAUCUUAUAAAUUAAAAAGUUGAUUGAGAAUGAAAUUAAAAAAAAUAUAUAAUUUCAUAAAUUAUCUCAAAUAAAAUAAAUAAUAAUAAAAAUAAUAGAGAUCAAAUCUAAAAAAUAAAAAAAUUAAAAGAUGAAGAAAUUAAAAUAAUAAUAAUUAACAUUUGAUAAAUUAUUUCAAAUAAAAUAAGUAAUAAUCAAAAGAAUGAGGACCAAAUUUGAUAGAUAAAAAAUUUCAAUUAAAAAAUGAUAAGGGAAAAGCAAAUAACAAUUAUAAAAAUAAAGACCAAAGUUAAUAUAAAAAUUAAAUUCUAAGGGAUGAAAUUGAAAAACAAAUAUUCAAAAUAAAAUAUAUAUAGCAAUCAAAAGUUUGAGAAUCAAAUUUGAUAUAAUCAGCAAAUAAUAUGAUAUUUCUAAAUUUUUCACAACUUCCAGAUAGUGUUGUCCGUCCAAAAUAGGCCCCGUUUGUUUGCUGGAAAGUAGUUUUCUUUUGGAAAGUAAAUUCCGGGAAAGUGAAUUAUUUUCUGAUGUUUGGUAGUGUAAUGAAAAAUAAGUUGGAAAACACUUUCCAGUGUUUGGUUAUGUCAUUGAAAAUGAGCUGGGAAAUAACUUAUUAAUGUUUUAUUUUUCUCAUGUUUAUUAAAAUAAUGAGGAACAAAUCUGAUAAAUUAAAAAGUUGAAUGAGAAUGAAAUUGAAAAAAAAUAUAAUUUCAUAAAUUAUCUCAAAUAAAAUAAAUAAUAAUCAAAAUAAUAGAGAUCAAAUCUAAAAAAUAAAAAAAAUAAAAGAUGAAGAAAUUAAAAUAAUAAUAAUUAACAUUUCAAAAAUUAUUUCAAAUAAAAUAAGUAACAAUCAAUAGAAUGAGGACCAAAUUUGAUAGAUAAAAAAUUUCAAUAAAAAAAUGAUAAGGGAAAGGCAAAUAAUAAUUAUAAAAAUGAAGAUCAAAUUUAAUAUAAAAAUUAAAUUUUAAGAGAUGAAAUUGAAAAAUAAAUUUUCAAAACAAAAUAUAUAUAACAAUUAAAAGCUUGAGGACCAAAUUUGAUACAAUCAGUAAAUUAUAUGACAUUUUUAAUUUUUUCACAACUUCCGGAAAGUGUUUUCUGCCCAAAUUUUUCAGGAAAACACUUUCCUGGAAACAAGCCAAAUUUUCUUUUUGACUGAAAAAUGUUUUCCGUUGACCAACUUUCUUAAUGACAAACAAACACAGAAAAGUUUGGAAAGUAGUUUCCGGGAAACAAACAUAGCCUAAAAGGAAAACAUUUUCUUGGAAACCAAGCCAAAUUUUCCUUUGACUGAAAAGUGUUUUCCGUUGACCGAAAGGUGUUUUUCGUUUACCAACUUUUCUAACGGCAAACAAACACAAGAAAGUUUGGAAAGUGGUUUUCCGGAAAUCAUUUUUCGGGAAACAAACGCAGCCUUAAUGACUAAGCUGUUAAAAAAAUAGGAAAUAUAGAAGGUCACAAAAAUUAAAUACUUUGAUUUAUAUUUGUUUUUUAAUUUUUUUUAAUUUUAAUUUAGUUAUUGUUAAUAUUUUUUUAUUAAGAUAUAUAAUUUUUAAUUUAUUUAAUUAUAUAUUUGAAUAGGCUUUUUAAUUUACAUUUAAUCUUUUUUAUGUAUAAAAAUACAAUAAAAAAACUUUGCUAUACAAUUUUUUUAUGUUGUUGUUCCACUAUUUUCCAUAUUUUUGGGGAAUAAUUUCAUGAAGAGGCGUGACUGUGAAUGAAUUACAAGGCAAAACUCAGAAUUCUAUGGGGGCGAUGAUAAAUAUUUGUGUACUGGAAUGUCAGGAAUAUAAAUGCUCUUUACUUCUUCCUUCAGGUUGAGAAAAGGGUGGUUUUUGUCUGUCAUUAUGCCAUUUUUUUAUAGUUAUGGAUUAAAAAAAAGUAAACUUUUUUUAAAAGUAUUUUUUUAUUAUAAUUUAAAAAACAUAGGUUUUUAAAAAAUACAUGUUUAAUUAAUAUUAUUGUUGAGAAUUUAUAUAUGAAAAGCAUAUAUUCAUAAAUAAAAAUAGUAUUUGACAUUGUGCUAGCGAUUAUUUUUUAAAGUAUUUUUUAUUUAAAAAUAUAUUAAAAUAAUAUUUUUUUUAUUUUUAAAAAUUUAUUUUUAAUACCAACAUAUUAAAAUAAUUUAUAAACACAAAAAAAAUAAUUUUUUUAAAAGAGAGUCAUGGCCGCGUAAACAAAUCACCCCAAAAAACAGGUUAUUUUAUCUUAUAUACAACUAAGGUUUGAAAUGCAGUUGUAUAUGGGUCCAAUACAAAAAAACAAAAGUUAUAUAGCUAGCUUAAUGGUUUUUUCUCUAUGGUUAAGCAAAAAAACAGAAGCUAUUACAAUAUCAAACGGUUUCUAAGUGCGUUUUUGAUAUUGUAAUAUUGUAAUGCAAGAUGCUUUUCAAAAAUAUUUUUCACUUGAAAAUACUUUAAUUUUUUUUAGCAAUAGUUCAUCAAAACCAUUAGAAAGUACUAAAAAAAUCAAUUUUAUGUUUUUUCAAGUUAAAAAUGCUUUUAAAACACACUCAAAUGCAGCUUCAAACACAAAAACAAGUAGACAAUAAAUGUUGUUUGAGAUUAUGGUAAAAAUUGUGUUUUAAAAUAAUUUUUAUUUAAAAAUAUAUUAAAAUAAUAUUUUUUUAUUUUAGAUGUUAGCACAUUAAAACGUUUAAAAAAAUAUUAAAUUUUUUUUUUUAAAAAAAAUAAAAACAAUUACCGUUCAACCACCACACCAAAUAAACACUAAGUUGUGUAACCUAAUUUUAUGUUACUUUGGACUGAAGGAAGUAACAGUGAAUCAAUGUAACAUUUAGUCACUAAAUACAUGCUAACAAAAGCAAAUAAGCUAAGUAUGCUUGAUCUCCAAAAAGUAAAAAUUAAGAAUUACUGAUCUAGCUAAGUAUGCAUCUUACAGAAUCACCAUGGUUUUGUAAUAGCACGUUUCUUGUUCUUGAAAGGGGAAAUAAAGAAAAAAGAAUGGUUAGCACAGCUGAUUUUAAUCAUGUCGUCUUCUUGUAGGAAUCCACUCAUAUAUAUUCACCAUCUUUGCAUAAAGUUGAUGGCACACUGUUCUGAACUAAAGAGAAAGAAAACAAGGAUGCACCCCAAAUCAACAAGAGCUAAUUUUAAUUGAAAUUGUAACUGAUAAAUUCUUCAGUACACCUUUAAGCACAUCGAUGUAUUUAGAAAGAUGGCAUUCUUGCUCUGAAACUGAAAACUAAUAAAAACUGGGAGCGUAUAUAACAAGUUCUGUAUCAAAAAGAACCAAUCUAAAUACUACGUUCUAUGUAAUUUGUAUUUACAAAACUGCUCCAUUUCUAUGGAGAUGUGUUGUGCAUUAAAUAUUGGCAUUGAUGUUCUCAGCCCAAGAGUUUUUUGAUUCCUGCCUUCUGCUCUGCAGUUAACCUUGUUGGAAACUUGAUGUUGAACUUGAUCCUCAGAUUUCCUCUCUUUGUUGGGUCCUUUUGGAUUGGCAUCCCUUCCCUUGGGACAACCUCCUCAUAGUUUGGAUCAAUCACGGUGUUGAUCGGAAUGGUCAAAUUCCUUCCAUCUAAGGUGGUGAGAUGGACAGUGUAACCUGUCAAGGCUUCAGCUAAGGGAAUCUUCUGUGUGACAAUCAAGUCGUUUCCAUCACGAGUGAACACAGGGUGAGGUUUUUCAACUUGCAAUAUCUUGUAGUAAUCCACUCCCAUUGCGUUGCUGCUGCCUCCUCCUCCUCCUCCUCCUCCUCCUCUCUUUCUCUUCUUCACUUUGCUUAUCUUGGUUUUUCUACUUCAAAAAAAUCCUGGGGUGCUUUGCUCGCUCGCUUUUGUUAUGUUAAUUUACGGUAAUGUGAUGAUGGUGGAGGUAGAGUAGUAAUAUUUGGGGGUUUGUGGUGUUUAGGAUUUGGGUUAAUGCUAAAAAUUUGCACCUCUAUUCUUUAUUGUAACUUGCUUUGUGUUGCUGUUAAAUCCAUCCUUAUACUUUUAAUCUUUCUCUAGUUUGGUCCUUUUGCUUAUGGUUGGGUCAAUACCCUUGAAUCGAAUUGAUUAUCUUUUGUUGUAUUUAGGGCCAAGUUACUAAAUUCAGCUUUGCCUAGGGCUAAGUGACGGAUUGAGUAUGUUAAUUUGAUCAAUUUAAAACAAAGUUUUUUUAAAGAUUUUUUUUAAAUCAAACCAAAUUUUAAUUAGAAUUAAUCUAUCAAGUCAUUUAAGUCAAAUCAAAUAAAUUUUUAUUUGAUUAUUUUUUAAAAUUAGACUUGAACUAGAAUUGAAUCAGCUUGAUUAACCUAUUAAAUCAAACCAAGUUUAAUCAUUGUAAUUCAAGAGUAUAUAGAUUGUUUUAACUAAUUUUUCUUUGAUGUAGUCUAAAUUUCAAUAGAUCAUGCAAUCAAGUAUUUUUUGAUCGACUCUCAGAUAUUCAAUAACAUAAAAAAAAAAUUAUAAAUUAUAUAUUUUUGAAUCUCAUCCAUCGGCACAAGUUUUUAUCAUGAUAUGAGAAAUUAAAUGAAGUAAAUGCUCUUUCAAAUUGUACCUUUUACUGUCAAGAAAGGAAAGAUUCAACAACAAUCAAGGGAAACCAGUUUUCAUUAAGAACAUUAUGAAGAAGAUGGUCAAACCCUGCAUUAAAACAUCUCAGAAAGAUGCCAUACUUCACACAGACACACACAAACACAAACACAAACUGCAGCAAGAGGAUACCAAUCCAAAGGAUCCCUUCCCAUAGGAGAUGUCUCACAUGCUGAUAUAGAGAUAUCAAGGACCAAAGAGUCUCCUGAUUCCUGCCUUCUGCUCUGCAUUAACCCUUGUUGGGAACCUGAUAUCAAACUUGAUUUUC